ACUUGACCUCAAAUCAGGUAGGACU
Molecule: ribosomal RNA, 25 nt
Filed under: Amanita pantherina
Lineage: Eukaryota; Fungi; Basidiomycota; Agaricomycetes; Agaricales; Amanitaceae
Also listed under: 1 other name
Description: partial 28S ribosomal RNA
Source: RNAcentral